AUUGAACGCUGGCGGCAUGCCUUACACAUGCAAGUCGAACGGUAACGCGGGGCAACCUGGCGACGAGUGGCGAACGGGUGAGUAAUGCAUCGGAACGUGCCCAGUAGUGGGGGAUAGCUCGACGAAAGUCGAAUUAAUACCGCAUACGACCUAAGGGUGAAAGGGGGGAUCGCAAGACCUCUCGCUAUUGGAGCGGCCGAUGUCAGAUUAGGUAGUUGGUAGGGUAAAAGCCUACCAAGCCUAUGAUCUGUAGCUGGUCUGAGAGGACGACCAGCCACACUGGGACUGAGACACGGCCCAGACUCCUACGGGAGGCAGCAGUGGGGAAUUUUGGACAAUGGGCGCAAGCCUGAUCCAGCCAUGCCGCGUGCGGGAAGAAGG
This 381-nucleotide ribosomal RNA is filed under the name uncultured bacterium. RNAcentral's name for it is "bacterial SSU rRNA". It matches the Rfam family "Bacterial small subunit ribosomal RNA", at positions 30 to 414 of the family's 1533-position model. The record is from RNAcentral.